ACCAAAGCAACUCUCAUGAUCCGAACUGUACUGAGUGCAGUGGCCAAAGCAAGGUAAUAUCACAUGUGCUAACAAUGGAAAUGGGCAGAGUGCAGACAAAACACUGGAAAAGAAUUUACUCGAUUCUUGGCAGAACAUGAAGCCUCGGUCUACCUCAUUAUACCUUCCAGUGGCUGCAGCUGUUUUUUUGCGCUUGUUCACUUUCUACAAGAGUUUCAAGUUGUGGACAGUCUUUCUCAAUGCCACACAGUCAAUGUCCUGAUUUUUUCACCAAUAUCAUUGUGAUAAAUAGAAGAUGGUUAAUUGCAUCCAUUCUAGGCCAGUCAGUAGGAAGAAAUAAGUUUCAGCAAAUCAUAAAACUGCUUGCACUACAGACAUCAUGUCACCUGGGAGCUGUAGUUCACCACCUCCAUCAUUUCUUGCUGACAUGCUUGACAAAGAGCAAAGUAUUCUGAAGUUCCAUCCAAGUUUCCUGCCAAGCUAAUUUGUUUGAUGACUACUGGGAGUAACCACGUGUGCAUCAUGAAACAUCUCAACAAACCUGUAACAUCUAUGUACAGUUAUACUGACUUAACUUGAAAUGAAGCUUUCUAGGUAGUUUCAAAAAGCUGAAUCUCUAGUAUUUUUUUAACUGUCUGUAACCAAACUGCUUUGAUUUUAUAUAAAACAUCCCAGGACAAUCUACUGAUAUUUUCAACUAAAUAGUUUUUACAAUCUGUGAUCCUUGACAUGUCAUGAACUUUAGUUCUCCAAGCAUAUGUUUCUAGGAGAAAGACAAAACUAAUAUUAUAGUCUGCUUGUUAGAAAAUGUAAUUCAAAACAAUACAAAUCAAA
Molecule: long non-coding RNA, 834 nt
Filed under: Anser brachyrhynchus (Pink-footed goose)
Lineage: Eukaryota; Metazoa; Chordata; Aves; Anseriformes; Anatidae
Description: lncRNA (ENSABRG00000012024.1)
Source: RNAcentral